RNAcentral lists this ribosomal RNA (403 nucleotides) under uncultured bacterium. Its description in RNAcentral is "bacterial SSU rRNA". It matches the Rfam family "Bacterial small subunit ribosomal RNA", at positions 355 to 774 of the family's 1533-position model. The record is from RNAcentral.
UAGGGAAUAUUGCAAAAUGGGCGAAAGCCCGAUGCAGCAACGCCGCGUGGGCGAUGAAGGCCUUCGGGUCGUAAAGCCCUUUUUGAGGGGAUGAGGAAGGACAGUACCCUCAGAAUAAGCCUCGGCUAACUACGUGCCAGCAGCCGCGGUAAAACGUAGGAGGCGAGCGUUAUCCGGAUUUACUGGGCGUAAAGCGCGUGCAGGCGGAUUGGAGAGUUGGAUGUGAAAGCUCCCGGCUUAACUGGGAGAGGUCGUCCAAUACUUCCAGUCUUGAGUGCAGUAGAGGGAAGUGGAAUUCCGGGUGUAGUGGUGAAAUGCGUAGAUAUCCGGAGGCACACCAGUGGCGAAAGCGGCUUCCUGGACUGUAACUGACGCUCAGACGCGAAAGCUAGGGUAGCAAACG